CUGGCCUUGAACUUGUAGACCUCCUGUCUCAACCUCCCAAAUGACUAGCACUACAAAUCUACCAAAUCUAGCAGUUGAGCAUUUGCUUAUAUACCUUUGGCUUUAUACAUCUUUAAUCAUAGCACGCUAGAGACAGGGACAAGCAUCUCUCUGAGCUGGAGGCCAGCCAGAGAUACAUAAUGAAACUCUGUCUCAAAAAACAAAAAAGAUUUUUGUUUAUAAGUGAGAACCUCAGGACAAGGCAUGAUGUGCACCCCUUUACUCCCAACAUUCAUGAGACAGAACAAAUACAUUUCUGUGAGUUUCAGGCCAGCCAGGGCCACACAGUAAGACCCCAUCUCAAAAAGGGGGUGGGAGGAGCUCAACUGUAGUACAAAUAUCAGAAAUGAGUUCAUUGGGAAUCAGGAAAUAUUGUGAAGACUGUAGUGGCCUGGGUCUGUGGUUAGAAACAGAAGAGUAUUUGCCUCUCUGCACACUGUCUUGAUUCAUUCAUAGCAUGUGAGCAGGCAACAGCAUCGGCAUUUAGAAAAACAAAAUAAAUGGGUGCUUCAUUAUUUGUCUGUUCAUUACGUCCUACAUUUUUACUCAGGGAAGAUGGUUCUAUGCUUUGUUGGCUUGUCUUGAGAAACCUUUGCUACCUGAGGCUCACUCACUGAUUCGACAGCUUGCCAGAAGGUGUUCUGAAGUGAGGCUCCUGGUGGGCAGUAAAGACGAUGAAAGAGUUC
Molecule: long non-coding RNA, 725 nt
Filed under: Rattus norvegicus (Norway rat)
Lineage: Eukaryota; Metazoa; Chordata; Mammalia; Rodentia; Muridae
Description: long non-coding RNA NONRATT024303
Source: RNAcentral